CUCGAUUGGGAGAAAGAGGCGGGUAAAGCACAGAUUCUAACCUGUAGCAGAGAGGAAGAAGAAACUUCACAAGGUUCAAGACAAGAUAGGAUCUCAAAGUAAAUGUAAGUAAGUAUCUUGAUCAUGUCUAAAGAGAUAAGUUCAAGGGUACUCAUAGAUGUAUCUUCAUGGUAGAUAUUGUUUCUCUUCUUGAUGCAAAUCUAGACAGGAAAAUUAAACAAAUCAUGACAAUAGCAGUAAACUCUAGUUAAGUUAAGAAGACAACAUUUCUGUAUAUUUUGUAGCAAAGGUGAUACAACUUAUAUGGGAAAUUACCAAGAACUGAAACUUGAAUAAGGAAUGCAAAGAGCUAGCUUCAACGAAUUUAGCAAUUUCAUGUUUCAAGCAAAUGUCACUAUGAACUGAGGAUUUCAUUUGAAAAAAAAAAGAUAUCACUCGACUAGAAACGCCCACCGUGGGGCUCGAACCCACGACCACAAGGUUAAGAGCCUUGCGCUCUACCAACUGAGCUAGACGGGCUUUGUUGAUAAUCUUGACUAUAUUUAUUAAUUGAAAGUAGAAUCAGCACCAAAAGAUAGGAUUCAGCUAAACAGAGACAAAUUUAAGUAAAGACAAACCUCUGGUUUUAGUUUUUGAUUAACAAACGAAGCAUAUAAUCAAAUGCCCUUCUUCACGCACCCUGUAAAGCAUAAUACCUUUUUUGAGAUAUUAUCUAAACCUUAAUCAACAAUUAUUCCUACUCGCUAAUUUGAAUUAUCAAUUUUCAUUCUAUGUAUACUAAAAGGAAUGUGCAUUGAUCAUCAAUUUCAAUCACAGCAAUUUAUGAUCUAUUACACGCAUUUUCGAUCUACUAGGAAUCAUGGGUAAAGAUCGUAACCUCGUUAUAAGAGUUUCUUGAUAAUUGAUCUGGAUACGAUAUCUUCAGGGAUUCAUCUGCGCAUAUUAGCUUCUGAUCCAAUGCCGUAAGAAGUUGAGAGAGAAGCACAGAGAAAUUGAGGAUCAACCAUGGAAUACGUCAAGCAUCGAUUUUGAGUCAAGGGUAUCAUCAGAUUCGCCGAAGAUAGUCAUCUGCCACUUUCUUUCUUUUUUCUUUGCCUGUCCCAUUAAGUUCUGUGUGGAUAACAGAGCAAUGAAUAGCCCAAAGAGCAAGAGGAGUUUCCGAGGAUGAAGAACAACGAAAC
RNAcentral lists this long non-coding RNA (1181 nucleotides) under Eutrema salsugineum. RNAcentral describes it as "long non-coding RNA (ESAL_LNC002087)". The record is from RNAcentral. Lineage: Eukaryota; Viridiplantae; Streptophyta; Magnoliopsida; Brassicales; Brassicaceae.